AUAAAAGCUGAGAAGAGAAGAGUAAGUAAGAAUUUUUUCUACAGAGAGCUAGGUUAGGUGGAAGCUAGCGCUAAAAGAAUUACUGAAUAUGGCCUUGGAGCUUUUUAUCCGAAAUAAUUUAGGAUAAAACAUUUAGACAUGUUACAGUCUACUAAGAUAUCUAUUGUGAAAAUAGUUUUUUCAAGCAACGUGAAAAUUUUCAUGAUAAAUAAAUUAGGGUGGUACCGCGAAUAAUCUCGCCCCUAUG
RNAcentral lists this non-coding RNA (247 nucleotides) under Terrisporobacter mayombei. RNAcentral describes it as "T-box". It matches the Rfam family "T-box leader". Rfam says of the family: Uncharged tRNA acts as the effector for transcription antitermination of genes in the T-box leader family. Lineage: Bacteria; Bacillati; Bacillota; Clostridia; Peptostreptococcales; Peptostreptococcaceae. The record is from RNAcentral.